RNAcentral lists this transfer RNA (68 nucleotides) under Metzia lineata (lined lesser-bream). RNAcentral describes it as "tRNA-Cys". It matches the Rfam family "tRNA". Rfam says of the family: Transfer RNA (tRNA) molecules are approximately 80 nucleotides in length. Their secondary structure includes four short double-helical elements and three loops (D, anti-codon, and T loops). Further hydrogen bonds mediate the characteristic L-shaped molecular structure. tRNAs have two regions of fundamental functional importance: the anti-codon, which is responsible for specific mRNA codon recognition, and the 3' end, to which the tRNAs corresponding amino acid is attached (by aminoacyl-tRNA synthetases). tRNAs cope with the degeneracy of the genetic code in two manners: having more than one tRNA (with a specific anti-codon) for a particular amino acid; and 'wobble' base-pairing, i.e. permitting non-standard base-pairing at the 3rd anti-codon position. The record is from RNAcentral. Lineage: Eukaryota; Metazoa; Chordata; Actinopteri; Cypriniformes; Xenocyprididae. RNAcentral also lists the same sequence under 1 other name.
AGCCUCGUGGUGAAGAAACAUGUUGGAUUGCAAAUCCAGAGACGUAGAUUAAUAAUCUGCCGGGGCUU